RNAcentral lists this ribosomal RNA (497 nucleotides) under uncultured bacterium. Its description in RNAcentral is "partial 16S ribosomal RNA". It matches the Rfam family "Bacterial small subunit ribosomal RNA", at positions 28 to 507 of the family's 1533-position model. The record is from RNAcentral.
GAUGAACGCUGGCGGCGUGCCUAAUACAUGCAAGUCGAGCGAACAGACGAGGAGCUUGCUCCUCUGACGUUAGCGGCGGACGGGUGAGUAACACGUGGAUAACCUACCUAUAAGACUGGGAUAACUUCGGGAAACCGGAGCUAAUACCGGAUAAUAUAUUGAACCGCAUGGUUCAAUUGUGAAAGACGGUUUUGCUGUCACUUAUAGAUGGAUCCGCGCCGCAUUAGCUAGUUGGUAAGGUAACAGCUUACCAAGACAACGAUGCGUAGCCGACCUGAGAGGGUGAUCGGCCACACUGGAACUGAGACACGGUCCAGACUCCUACGGGAGGCAGCAGUAGGGAAUCUUCCGCAAUGGGCGAAAGCCUGACGGAGCAACGCCGCGUGAGUGAUGAAGGUCUUCGGAUCGUAAAACUCUGUUAUUAGGGAAGAACAAAUGUGUAAGUAACUAUGCACGUCUUGACGGUACCUAAUCAGAAAGCCACGGCUAACUACGUG